Molecule: unclassified non-coding RNA, 623 nt
Filed under: Hevea brasiliensis (rubber tree)
Lineage: Eukaryota; Viridiplantae; Streptophyta; Magnoliopsida; Malpighiales; Euphorbiaceae
Source: RNAcentral
AUUUUCUUCUUUGACAAGGGAUUACUUGCCAUGGGAAAUAUCCUCUUCAUCUCAGGAGUGAGUCUAACCAUUGGGCCAAAAUCCACCAUGCAGUUCUUCAUGAAACGUCAAAAUUUUAAGGGAACUAUUUCAUUUGGUUCUGGCUUCUUCUUUGUUGUCGUAGGAUGGCCAGUUAUUGGCAUGAUUUUGGAAGCAUAUGGGUUCGUUGUACUCUUCAGUGGCUUCUGGCCAACACUGGCAGUCUUUCUUCAGAAGAUACCCAUUCUUGGCUGGUUCUUCCAACAACCUUUUAUUAGAUCGUUCAUGGAUCGCUACCGGGGGAAAAGAGUUCCUGUUUAAAUUCAGAAUCAGAGAGAAUUGGAGCUGACCUAUGUAUUGGUCCAUGUUGAAGUCCUCUAAAAAAAUAAUCUUGCCUCAAACCUAAUUUUUUUUUGGUUUAGAGAUGGAUGGCUGUGCAAUGUGCAAUUCUGGGAUUGAAGGGAAGUGCAACUAAGCUGCAGAUAGGUCCAUUUCCAAGUCCUUGUAAAAAUAUUUGUAGAUUUUGUUUGGUUCUGUUUGCAUGAUUGUAGAAGGCUAUUUUGAUUUGAUGACAAACCUUUUCUCUUUUUGAUUAAAGGAGGAGA